Molecule: ribosomal RNA, 38 nt
Filed under: Ceriporia spissa
Lineage: Eukaryota; Fungi; Basidiomycota; Agaricomycetes; Polyporales; Irpicaceae
Also listed under: 1 other name
Description: partial 28S ribosomal RNA
Source: RNAcentral
CUGAUCUCAAAUCAGGUAGGACUACCCGCUGAACUUAA